CGGGGCGUAGCGCAGUCCGGUUAGCGUACCUGCUUUGGGAGCAGGGGGUCGAGAGUUCGAAUCCCUCCGCCCCGA
RNAcentral lists this transfer RNA (75 nucleotides) under Bacteroidota bacterium. Its description in RNAcentral is "tRNA-Pro". It matches the Rfam family "tRNA". Rfam says of the family: Transfer RNA (tRNA) molecules are approximately 80 nucleotides in length. Their secondary structure includes four short double-helical elements and three loops (D, anti-codon, and T loops). The record is from RNAcentral. Lineage: Bacteria; Pseudomonadati; Bacteroidota.